RNAcentral lists this long non-coding RNA (416 nucleotides) under Zostera marina. RNAcentral's name for it is "long non-coding RNA (ZMAR_LNC001669)". Lineage: Eukaryota; Viridiplantae; Streptophyta; Magnoliopsida; Alismatales; Zosteraceae. The record is from RNAcentral.
GCCAGUGUUCAUCUUGUCCCAAUGUAAAGGUUUUAGCCUUGCCGGUGGUGGGAGCUGUCCUUUUUUUGGCGGAGCCCCAGGAACUCCCAUUUGUGGUCUCGGAGGUGGCGGUCUUGCUCCUAGUGGAGGUGGAGGAGGUGCCUUUCCCCCCGGCGGCGGAGGUGGAGGAGGCGCCUUUCCCCCCGAAGGUGGCGGAGGAGGUGGGCGCUUUCCUCCAGGCGGAGGUGGAGGUGGCGGUGCUGUUGACCCUGAUUUUGCCGGAAUUGGUGGUGGAGGAGCAGCUGGUCUUGUAGGCGGCUGCGGUGCCGAUGAAGGAUGAGGAGGUUUUCCAGCCACGGCAGCUGAUGUCUGCACGACCGUAGUAGAAACUGGGCUAAAAGUAGCAGCAGCAGCAGAAGAAGAAGAAGAAGAUGGAG